CCUACGGGAGGCUGCAGUGGGGAAUAUUGGGCAAUGGGCGCAAGCCUGACCCAGCAACGCCGCGUGAGCGAUGAAGGUCUUCGGAUUGUAAAGCUCUGUCGCAGGGGACGAAGUAUGACGGUACCCUGUAAGAAAGCCCCGGCUAACUACGUGCCAGCAGCCGCGGUAAUACGUAGGGGGCAAGCGUUAUCCGGAUUUACUGGGUGUAAAGGGAGCGUAGACGGCAGCGCAAGUCUGGAGUGAAAUGCCGGGGCCCAACCCCGGAACUGCUCUGGAAACUGUGAAGCUGGAGUGCAGGAGAGGUAAGCGGAAUUCCUGGUGUAGCGGUGAAAUGCGUAGAUAUCAGGAGGAACACCGGCGGCGAAGGCGGCUUACUGGACUGUAACUGACGUUGAGGCUCGAAGGCGUGGGGAGCAAACAGGAUUAGAUACCCGGGUAGUC
This 441-nucleotide ribosomal RNA is filed under the name uncultured bacterium. RNAcentral describes it as "partial 16S ribosomal RNA". It matches the Rfam family "Bacterial small subunit ribosomal RNA", at positions 338 to 795 of the family's 1533-position model. The record is from RNAcentral.